AAUAUAAAGCCUACGGCUGACUGGCAUUUGGGUAACGAAACAGAAUUGUAACUUACUAAAAUAAAGUUUUAAGUACGUAUUAAUAAUGAUAAUAUGUAUAAAAGUCUUGACCAAUUACGUGCCAGCAGUCGCGGUAAUACGUAGGAGACGAGCAUUAUUCAUAUUAAAUAGGUUUAAAGGGUACCCAAACGGUCAAAAUACCUGAAAUAUAGGAGUACUUGACUAGAGUUAUAUGUAAGAAGACCGUACUUGAGGUGGAGAGAUUAUAUUUUAUGAUACCAAAAGGACUGAUAACGGCGAAGGCUGUCUUUUAUGUAAUAACUGACGUUGAAGGACGAAGGCAUAGAUAACUAACAGGAUUCGUUACCCUAGUAGUCUUUGCAGACAAUGAUGAAUGCCAUUAACUAGAUACUAAUUUUAGUUAUAUAAAUGAAAAUGAAAGCAUUUCACCUCAAGAGUAAUGUGGCAACGCAGGAACUGAAAUCACUAGACCGUUUCUGACACCAGUAGUGAAGUAUGUUAUUUCAUCCCGAUGAUCCGCAAGGCAGGAACUGAAAUCACUAGACCGUUUCUGACACCAGUAGUGAAGUAUGUUAUUUAAUUCGAUGAUCCGCA
This 615-nucleotide ribosomal RNA is filed under the name Colletotrichum gloeosporioides. RNAcentral describes it as "SSU rRNA". It matches the Rfam family "Bacterial small subunit ribosomal RNA", at positions 370 to 1045 of the family's 1533-position model. The record is from RNAcentral. Lineage: Eukaryota; Fungi; Ascomycota; Sordariomycetes; Glomerellales; Glomerellaceae.